AUAAAAAUUUAUUAUGGUUUAAAAAUUUUAUUUAAAAUUUAUUUUACAUAUAAAUUUUAGUGUUAAUUUUUUAUUAUUUUAAUAAUAAUAAGUUUUUAUUUAUAGUAAUUAAUAUUAAAAAUUUAAGAAAUUAAGAUUUAGUAAUAUUUUAAUUUAUAACAAAUUUUGUGCCAGCAGUUGCGGUUAAACAAAAAUUAAAUUAAAAUUUAUUAGUAAUUAAUAAAUAAUAUUAUUUAAAUUAAUUAAAUAUUAAAUUAUUAAGUGAAAUUUUAAUUUAAUUAAAAUUAAUUUAUAAAUUAUAAUUUAAUAAAUUUUAUUUAUAAACUAGGAUUAGAUACCCUAUUAUUAAAAAUUUAAAUUAAUUAUACUAAAAUAGUAUAUAAUUAUUUAUUGAAACUUAAAUAAUUUGGCGGUAUUUUAGUUCAUUUAGAGGAAUCUGUUUAAUAAUUGAUAAUCCACGAAUAAAUUUACUUAAUUUAAUAUUUUGUAUAUCGUUGUUAAAAAAAUAUUUUUAAAUAAUAUUAAUAUUUUAAAAUUAUAAUAAAAAUUAAAUCAGAUCAAGAUGCAGAUUAUAAUUAAGAAUAUAAUGGAUUACAAUAAAUUUAUUUAUACUAAUGUUAAAUUGAAAAAUUUAAUUAAGGGUGGAUUUAAAUGUAAUUUUAUUUAGUUUAUUAAAAUGAUUAAAAAUUAAGAUAUGUACAUAUUGCCCGUCGCUUUCAUAAAUAAAUUGAAAUAAGUCGUAACAAAGUAGAGGUACUGGAAAGUGUUUCUAGAAAUAU
Molecule: non-coding RNA, 779 nt
Filed under: Conogethes punctiferalis (yellow peach moth)
Lineage: Eukaryota; Metazoa; Arthropoda; Insecta; Lepidoptera; Crambidae
Source: RNAcentral